AAAUACUUGGCUUAUCUCUGCAUCGUUGCCCAAUCUCACUGCGUGUGUACCACCUGGGACGAUGAGGAUCAUCCCACCUUGUUUUUGGCCCGAAGAGACGAGCUCCACUGUGCCCCUUAAUUUCCAACUGGGGAUUUCGAUGGAGCCGUCCGCUAUGGCGUCGCUAGGGAAACCAUUCGAUGGCGGCGUUUCAAAAUCACCGUUAGCCACCAAUCCUGCAAUCGGACGCAUACAAUUAUUUAGUGAGAGUAAAGAAGGUGGGCCAUACGCUUAUAUGUUUCACUGUCAAAGAUACUUUAAUUUCGGCAGUCAAGAUACAGUCCUGUUUGGCCCAAGAGCGAAUACUAGACACUAAUUUUUCACCUACUAAGCGUACCGAACAUCAUAUCCAUUGAGGUCUUCUAGCUACUGUUGAUUGAGUGGCGAUUAUUUAUAAAUUAUAUUAUAAUGAAUAAAAUCAUAUAAUAUAUUUUAAGACAUUUAUUAAAAUAUAUUAAAUUUAAAAAAGAAAAGAAAAAUACGUGAAAGAUCUAUGGAUGGAGGAUAGACUUAGCUUAUCCAUUCCUGAACCUCAAAAUGAAAGAAGAAUCAUGCCAAUAUAGAACAAAAUAAGAAGACAAACACCCACUAGAGGAAGAAGAAAGUCCAGUUAGGCAUAGAUGCCCAAAUUGAAAGGAACUCCACUAAUUAAGUAACAAAUAAUUUAUUUAUUUAUUUAUUGAAUCUGAUAGGACAAAAAUAAUGCUGGUAAUGAUGUGAACGCGCAAUCUGCUGCAAUUUGCAAAUAAGGACCAGAGAGCCGCGUUAAGCGCAUCGGAUUCGGCCCUACAGCACCGUUUUGGCCCAUCAUUUCAACUCCUAGAAGCUAGAGCCACUCCACUCUGACUAAUUUUCCUUUCUUUUCAAUUUUUUUCUACUACGAGAAGAAAAGUCCAUAAUUUCACAGUGCCACUUUUUAACUUUCACUGACACUCUACAGCUGGAGACUGGGAUGAUACCCCACCAAAAAGAUGGUGAGAAAAUGGAAAAAGUACCAUCCGGCUUUAAGGAAAGCACCCUUGUCGUUUUGCUAGCUCAAGGAAACAGUGCCUAACCUUUGGCGCCAAUUUAUCCAUUUUGACUAUUGUUCACCUUUAUAUUGUGGCUCUGUGGGAAUACCCAAAUAGAUUGGGCCCUCUUCCUUUAUUAAUAAUUAAAGUGGUACCACUAUUACAUAAUCAAUUUUCAUGUUACAUUAUUUGCGACCUUAUGGCAUUAUUUAGAAGAUAAAUAAAGUGAAGGUUUAAAUUACAAAAAUUAAUAUAAUCGAGUUUCAUGAUUUUUUCAAUUAACUCUUCAAUUAUUAGAGGCAAAUGGUGAUCAAGAAGAGAGAACUUACAAGUUAGUCACGAUUUUGCCCUACAACAUACGCAAAUGAAAAAGACACUAAUAUCCCCACAGGGUGACUGAUACCUUAGGAUACUAAAAUUUGACAAAACACUUGGGGCCAUACCACCAUAUUUAUUAUUUAAUAGUAAUCUAGAAUACAGAUGGGUUAUGAUAAAGGUUGAAGAAGCCAUAGUUUCCAGCCACAGCAAGAAAAAAAAAGUUCCUAAGCUGAUCUAAAAGCAUAAAAAGAUCUGCAAGUUGAUGUGGGGGUUUUCUUGGGGGGACUAUAUAGAGCCUUUUAGUCUAGAAGAACAUAAUCACUGCAAAUCAAGAUUAAAGCAGUGAUUAGCCGAACAACUAAUCUAGGUAGUCAUCACUGUACAAAUACAAAUAUAGAAUUAACGGUUCCUCUCUUAAGCCAAAAUAUAUGGCUUUCAGUACUUUAACAAUGGCACAAAUCUUUCUGGCUAAGAGAAAAAAAAAAGGGCACAAAUCAUUCUUCUUUACGUGCAAGCAAUAAGCUUCACCAAAGAAGAAUGGGGCAGUUCUGAAAAACACUAAAAGCUUGAAUGAGAAUUUAAAGCUUCUAAAGAUAGAAUGCAUUUACGCUAUCGUGUACGUUGGAAAUUGAUUCUUGUCUAUUGGGCUAUCAAUUACCAAAUAGAGAACAUCCCUCGCAUAAAGUCCUUGAAAGAGCAAUUGGAAAAUCAUUCAACUCCCAUUUCACUUGCAAUGCCUGAUCUUUUGCAGGAAAAAGCUAAAGACUUAAAGAAUUAAUCUUUUCAACUAUAUCUAUGGAACCCAGAAAUCAUAAAUCUCAUCUCAAUAGCCUCACAAAAAAUUACACAUACCAAUAAAUUCACAUUGAAUGUGAGUUUGCAGGUAAUUAAGUGAAGGGUAUAUAUCAGAUCUCAGAAACGGCUUAUCCAUGGAAAGAAAAAGGGGAAAGAGAAAAAUGCAUCUACUAAUUACAAGUAAAAAAAAAAGAGAAACCUAGUUAUUCUAUGAGAUCAAGAGAUAGGAAAUGGGCAUGUAAAGAAGCAAGAAGAAAACGUACCAUCUUGUCCUAAUAUUGCAGUAGCAAACAAAGCGAAGAAGAGAAUAACAGAACAAGCGAACCAUUUGCUUCUGGUUGAGCUUUGCACCAUCUUACUAUUUCUCGGGCAAGCACUCUCGCUCUCUCUCACCCUCUCUCUCACUGAAAGUGGGUGUGUAUGGACAGUAUUUUUUGGAGAGAAU
RNAcentral lists this unclassified non-coding RNA (2607 nucleotides) under Hevea brasiliensis (rubber tree). Lineage: Eukaryota; Viridiplantae; Streptophyta; Magnoliopsida; Malpighiales; Euphorbiaceae. The record is from RNAcentral.